RNAcentral lists this ribosomal RNA (432 nucleotides) under uncultured bacterium. RNAcentral describes it as "partial 16S ribosomal RNA". It matches the Rfam family "Bacterial small subunit ribosomal RNA", at positions 29 to 506 of the family's 1533-position model. The record is from RNAcentral.
AGCGAACGCUGGCGGCAGGCUUAACACAUGCAAGUCGAGCGGGCACUUCGGUGUCAGCGGCAGACGGGUGAGUAACACGUGGGAACGUACCCUUUGGUUCGGAAUAACGCUGGGAAACUAGCGCUAAUACCGGAUACGCCCUUUUGGGGAAAGGCUUGCUGCCGAAGGAUCGGCCCGCGUCUGAUUAGCUAGUUGGUGGGGUAAUGGCCUACCAAGGCGACGAUCAGUAGCUGGUCUGAGAGGAUGAUCAGCCACACUGGGACUGAGACACGGCCCAGACUCCUACGGGAGGCAGCAGUGGGGAAUAUUGGACAAUGGGCGCAAGCCUGAUCCAGCCAUGCCGCGUGAGUGAUGAAGGCCUUAGGGUUGUAAAGCUCUUUUGGCCGGGACGAUAAUGACGGUACCGGAAGAAUAAGCCCCGGCUAACUUCGU